Molecule: long non-coding RNA, 5584 nt
Organism: Leopardus geoffroyi (Geoffroy's cat)
Lineage: Eukaryota; Metazoa; Chordata; Mammalia; Carnivora; Felidae
Exons: 2
Source: RefSeq, a predicted model, not a curated record
UGAUCCCAUGACCCUGGAAUCAUGACCUGAGCCGAAAUCAAGAGUCAGAUGCUCAACUGACUGAGCCUGUUUUUUGAUUUUUUGUCAUGUUUAGAAGACCAUAUGAAUCCCAGGAAAGGGCUGAAUCUGUAGUAGGUGCUCAAUAAAUACAUGGCUCUAAUUCUUUUGUCUGCAGCAUCCCCAAGCAGUGUACCCAUUGUGGGUUGCCAGAGCUCACUAAUGUAAUCUCCAGGCAUUAUUUUCUGUUUGUGGUUGCUUUACCAAAGUCUAACCCAGAUCCCCACCUCAGAUCUAAUUUCCAGACCCACUGUCUCUGCUACCCACUUCCCUUUGGGUUCUGUGAAUACUUAAAUCUGAUGUAACUUUUUUGUCAUAGAGUGGCCAUUUGAAUUCUGGAUGUUUUCAGUAAGUUCAGCAGUAGUUACUGAAUGCCCAUUUUUUUACUAGGCACAGUUCUAGGUGUUUGGGGUAUGGCACUGAAAAAGCAAAAAAGCUGCUGUGAGCCUAUAGUCUGUUCUGGGUUGGGGUCAAAAGGUCAAAACCUUCCCACAAAGGUUUUGCCAGAUUUAGCAAUGCUGCCUGUGGAGCUAGUAUGUUGGAUGUGUUUUCAUAUUCCUCAAACAAAGAGCCUGUAGGCCAGGACUGGAUCCACUGCAAGAUAUGAAGCUGGAAUUUCACACCUUGAGGACCUGGGGUCUGGGAGGACCAGAGGGUCCUCCAUCUAUUUACCACCCCUUAGGGUGUAGGGACCAGCUCUUUCGAGGGGCCUUCAAGGGCAUCUCUAGGCAAGUUUGGGCCCUCACAGCAUGGAAGGCAGGCCCUUAAGAACCCCCUCUGAACUACCUAAGACGACCACAGUUCUAUGCAGGCAGUCACCUGGGCGACCACUGAGGGAGCUUCAGGUGACACUACUUCAGCCCGGGUAGGCACAGCCAAAUGUUUCUGAAGUGAGCAUUGACACCAAACUUAACCUAGUUGGUGGGUGAUAGUGGGCAGAUUUUCAGGACAUGUGCCUUUGUGAGUUUAUGCCUAGCUGUGAGGACUCUCCUGACCUUGUAGCUCUUCUUGGAUCCUCACCUCCUUACGCAGGCUUCUCCCUGUGCUGCCCUGGCUCUCAGGAGCUGAUUGUGUGUGUCUGUUCCUAAUUCUACAUUCAGCGACGUCAUGUUUGGUAGUCUGAAAUCAGUCACGGUGGGAUUAUUUAUACCAUGGAAAUUGGCAAAAUGCCACAAAUCAGAGCCCUCGCCCCUGCUGGGAUAGCCAGUUAAAAUAUUUACCAAAACAUCACUGGCACCUCCCAACAUGGUUGAUUCCGAAGGCCUUGUCACUCCAGGUCUUCCCAGUUUCUGGUGAAAAAGCCACUGGUCAGGCCAAGGGUGCUGUCUCCUUCCUGGUUCUCUAGAAUUGCUCCAGGAUGGUAGUGGUGUGUGUGCAGAGGCAGAACGUCCCUCCCCACUACUCUAGGCCACACUUAGUCAUCUUUGGAAUCACUGACACUUUAAGAAUCUCCAGUUUCUCAACAAAAUGGCUGCUGACCAUCAGUCCCGUAGCCAUAGGGGCCUAGGCCUAAUCCCAGAGGUCCAGGGAGAAGACAGAAGCUACACCACCCGCUGCAUCCCCACUUCUUUAAUGACCUGCGUUCUCAUAGCCAUUGAAUGCAGUUGGAUGCUUGGUGGAGGACAGGGAUAUAAUCAACAGCAGCAGAGUCUCAGUCCUCAGCAGGGCCAUCAGUCAGUAUGCCCCAUCAUGCUUACUCAAGCCAUCUUCCUACAGGAGUCCUUUAACAGUGAUUGGGAAUAGGCAACGUGGCUGGGGUACUGGGCAUCUCUCCAGGGCUGGAGCCUUGUUGCUGGGUGGUAUGAACUGCACUUCAUCCUGAGCCACACGAAUCUGGAUAUUAGUCCUCCCUCUUGGGAUUAUAAGCCAGCUUUGGUUUCUUGCAGCACGGGCACAGGUUGUCCUAGGUAGCAUCCUAAUGAUUUUUGGAAGAAUCCUUCCCAGGCAUGGUGUGACUCUGGAGAUGGCAGUGCCCUUGACUCAGGCCACCAGGUACACCUUAAGGCCUGACCUUGUGAGCGGGCUGAUUUCCCAAUGAACGUCUCUAGUCAUGAGAUCUUGUCUCCAAGUGUGCAACCCUCACAGAGCCACAACGGCUAUCUUCCUACUUCCAUUUGAAGAACCUCCUCACCCUUCUGCAACAGGUCCUGAAAUUUGGGAAAUGGAAAACAGAAUCUCCAUUACCUCCCCUUCAGUUGCCUAAAUAUGAGGGGGCCAGAUUUUUCAUUUUCCCCUGCCCUUUUGGAGUUAUCUAACCCCUUCUAAGAAGUUAGCUUCUGAACCCCUGGGAUAGUUCUCAGCAUUCAUUCGUUCCACAAGUAUUUACUGAAUACCUACUACGUGCCAGGCACUGUGCUAGAUUCUAGCAUUACCACAGUCUCUGACUUUAUAGGACUUGUCCUAGAGAACAGACAGUAACAGGUGGUUAAGGUUUAAGUAGAAAUAGUACUGGGAACCAAGAGAACACAGAAAGGGGGCAGCCAGCUCAGACUAAGGACAUAGAAUGCUUUCUAGAGCAUUAGAUAUCUAAGCUAAGACCUGAAGGACAACUAGGGAUCACCAGGUUACGGAUGAGGAGAGGAGAGGAGAGGACUGGGGGUUGGGUGGAGAAGGAAGUAUUCUGGGUAGACAAGAGUGGGAAGCCAGGGAGGUGAGAGAGAGCAUGGCCUUCUUGCAGAAGUGAAACGCAUUCUGUGUGGCUGGAUUGUAGAGUUCCUAAAGAGAUGUAAUAAUAUAAGCUAACAAUAUCUCAAUAACAUGUGUUGAACAUUGUUACUAUCACUUUAGAGGAAUUAACUCUUGUAACAAAUCUGUUAUGAUUCCAUGUUAUAGAUGAGAAAAUGGAGGCAAUAAGAAGUUAACUCGCUUGCUUAAGGGCACACAAAUUAGUGGAAAGGAGAAAAUACGGCUGAAGUGAUCAGCCCCUAUUAUGGAGCUUUAUCCUAAGAACAGUGAGCAAUCAUUGGAGGUUAUAAUUGGGGGGAGUGACAUUUUCCUCUGUCUUGGGAAGAUCAGUUUGGUUGCUGUGUGGAGGGUAGGUUAGAGUGGGGAAGACAGAGGGUAUCCAGGGAGGCCAUUUAAGCAAUUCCAAUAAUCCACACAAGAGGUUAGACGGCCUGAAUUAAGUAAGGCAUUGGUAGUGUGGGUGGGGAGAAGUGGAAGAUUUCACAGAUAUUUAGCAGGUGUAUUGAGCAAGACUUCUGAUUGAUUGGAUGUGGGGAUGAGGGAGAUCCUGGAGUUAAGGGUGAUGACUGGGUUUCUGCCUUGGAAAUAACUCAGGAAGAGGAAAAUAUUUGGGGGAAGAUAUUAGUCAAGCAUGAAUUUAUUUUGGGGGGAUUGUUGAAUUUGAAAAUGCUGAAAAGAAAAUUGCAUGGAGUGACUACAGAGUCCCUACACAUGCUAAUUAUAUACUCCCCUCCAUGGACCACACACAUUUAAAUUUUUCUGCCACAUAAUCUUCUGGACAUUAUCUUCCAGAGCAAUGGUUGGAAGUCAUUAAAGUAGGCCUCGAUAGCUGCUUUGAGGAAUUCAACUGUUAUCAGGCGGAUUUGAGAAUUUAUCAUGAUACCCGAAGGCAAGAAGCAUACUACAUGAUAUCAGAGCUACAGCCAUUCCAACAUCCACUAAAUUGGCUGUCAAGAUAAAUAUUUACAAACUGGGAAACCAUAAGUGCUGGAGCAGAAGAGCUGUUGAUUUAAGACCUUUCACACACAGUUGUGGAAAAAUCCAUGUGUUAAGUGUACUCAAGUAAGCAUUGUGGUUGACACUUGUGACAAAAAUGCCCUAUCAAAUGAUCUUAUGAAAUUGCUACCCACAUCAGGACAUGAGACAGCUAUUGCUCUGGGAUGGACAACAUGAUGUGACUUAUGAGGACUUCAAGGCUUCUCAACAUAGAGCUGAGAGCUCAGAGGUGAGACCUGGCUAGUAAUACAAAUGUGUACAGAUGGUUACUGGGAUCAUAAGAGAGAAUAAAAUCCCCCAGGGAGAGUAGGCUGAAGGGGAAAAUACCCCAAACAGAACGCUGAGGACCACUGACAUACAAGGGGAGCCACCUACAGAGACCAAGAAAGGGUAGUAGGCAAAAUGUAGGAGAAGUAAAUGGUGACGUAUCUCAGAGGGCAAAUGUGAUGGUUCAUUUUGUGUGUCAACUUGAUUGGACCACGAGGUACCAGACAUUCAGUCAAACACUAUUCUGAGUGCCUGUGAGAGUGCUUCUGGAUGAAGUUAACAUUUGAAUCAGUGCACUGGAUGAAUAAAGCAGAUUGCCCUGUCCAAUGUGGGAAUCCUCAUCAAAUCAGCUGAAUAGAACAAAACGCUGACCUGGUAAGGGAGAAGGACUUUCUCCUGCUGUACUUCCUUGAGCUGGGACAUGGGUUUUCUUUUCCUGCCUUUGGACUCAGACUGAAACAUCAGCCCUUCCUGGGUCUCUAGCCUGCAGGCCUUCAGACUGGAAUUACACUGUCAGCUGUCUUGAGUCUCCAGCUUGCCAACAGCAGACCUUGGGAUUUGUCAGCCUCCAUAAUCACAUGAGCUAUUUCCUUAUACUCAAUCAAUCAAUCAAUCAAUUUAUCUAUCUGCCUGCCUGCCUACCUACCUACCUAUAUCCUAUUGUUGGCUCUGUUACUCUGGAGAACACUGACUAGUACAGCAAGGCAACAUUUCAGGAAUUUGGGAGUGGUUAACAGGGCUAAAGGUUGCUGUUGGUCAAGUAAGAUAAGAACUGAAAAUAUCAAUGGGUUUAGCAACUAGGAGGUCAUUGGAAGAGCAGUUUUAUUGACGUGGUGGGGGCAAAACAACCAUUUGCUCUGCAUUAGGAAGUGAGUGAGAAAUAUUUCAAGGGAAGAAGAAGAAAAAAGGAUGCAGUUGGAGAGAAAAGUCUGAAAAUAUGGUAGAGAGAAGUUGAGGGCUUUUUCUAAUGAUGGUUUUGAUGUAUUUCAUGAAGUUGGAAAGGAUCUUCUCUGACUAGAGUGAAGGAAAGGGGAAGUGUUGAGAUUGGAUAUUGGAAGAAGAUGGAGAAGAUUUGAAAUAACUGCUGGGCUGUGUGUGGACAAGGCAUGUGCCUGGAUGUCUUGUGGCACCAGUAGGUACUUUUGUGUGGUUUUAGCCUGGCAUGGCUCAGCUUCCUCUGUCUGGAGAAAAUGGAGCUGCAUGGAUUCAGGGUUGGGAUUUUGAUAAGACGGUGUCAUGGGGAUGAAGAGGGGAUGACCUUGGAUUCAAGACUGAUUGGAUGUGAAGGAAAGAGCUAGAAGUGAGAGAACUGGUGUGUGGAUUUAAUAUUUAAAGGCGGGAACAGUUCUACAACCAAACAUGGAUGUCCUCAUCCCAAAAUAAAAUGAUGGGCUUUGUCCUAUGAGCACUCUCCUUUAUGGAAAUAAUCUUGGAUGUUUUUCUUAAAUAUAAUAUUUUUAUUUAUAAAAUAGUUUAUUGCCAUUAUAUGUAUACAAUAAAUUUAAUAAUUAAGAAAUUUAUAAUUUAUGACAUAGAAAUUCAUUUAAGAACAGAUAACCCCAAAAUUUGUAUAGGACCA